Molecule: ribosomal RNA, 124 nt
Filed under: Mesocricetus auratus (golden hamster)
Lineage: Eukaryota; Metazoa; Chordata; Mammalia; Rodentia; Cricetidae
Source: RNAcentral
GUCUAUGACAACACCACUCUGAACAAACUCUCAUCUGAUCUCGGAGGCUAAGCAGGGUCGAGCCUACGUAGUACUUAGAUGGGGAAAUCACAGAAGAAAGUAAUAAAGCUGGGUGGCACAUGCC